Small nucleolar RNA from Aethina tumida (small hive beetle), 85 nucleotides. RefSeq annotates it as small nucleolar RNA snR60/Z15/Z230/Z193/J17. The record is from RefSeq and is a predicted model, not a curated record. NCBI's taxonomy places the organism in Eukaryota, Metazoa, Arthropoda, Insecta, Coleoptera, Nitidulidae. The transcript has a single exon.
UCAACUGAAAUGAUGAGCUUAUAGUUCAAAUGAUAUAACUUUGAUUAUACAUCCUAAUGUCUUUCGCUCCUAUCUGAUUUUUUAA